CCGCCCAUUUUCAGCUCUUGUUGAAAAUGAAAAGAGUGUUGAAUUAUACGAGACAUGCACACUAGCCGACAAAUAAAGAUCAAAACAUUCAAAAUAGUAUAAAGUGGGCGUGGCCUAGUAGGAUAUGAGAGAAGCAAAAGGGGGAGGAGAAACAGAGUGAGAGACCUCCCCGCGACGCUAUUUCGAAAAACAACCUCCUCCAGCACUCACGUUCGUCCGUUCAU
Non-coding RNA from Caenorhabditis elegans, 224 nucleotides. The record is from Ensembl. NCBI's taxonomy places the organism in Eukaryota, Metazoa, Nematoda, Chromadorea, Rhabditida, Rhabditidae.